UGGGGAAUAUUGGACAAUGGGCGCAAGCCUGAUCCAGCCAUGCCGCGUGAGUGAUGAAGGCCCUAGGGUUGUAAAGCUCUUUCACCGGUGAAGAUAAUGACGGUAACCGUAGAAGAAGCCCCGGCUAACUUCGUGCCAGCAGCCGCGGUAAUACGAAGGGGGCUAGCGUUGUUCGGAUUUACUGGGCGUAAAGCGCACGUAGGCGGACUAUUAAGUCAGGGGUGAAAUCCCGGGGCUCAACCCCGGAACUGCCUUUGAUACUGGUAGUCUUGAGUUCGAGAGAGGUGAGUGGAAUUCCGAGUGUAGAGGUGAAAUUCGUAGAUAUUCGGAGGAACACCAGUGGCGAAGGCGGCUCACUGGCUCGAUACUGACGCUGAGGUGCGAAAGCGUGGGGAGCAAACAGG
This 404-nucleotide ribosomal RNA is filed under the name Actinomycetes bacterium. RNAcentral describes it as "Actinobacteria bacterium partial 16S ribosomal RNA". It matches the Rfam family "Bacterial small subunit ribosomal RNA", at positions 355 to 776 of the family's 1533-position model. The record is from RNAcentral. Lineage: Bacteria; Bacillati; Actinomycetota; Actinomycetes.